This 74-nucleotide transfer RNA is filed under the name Staphylococcus aureus. Its description in RNAcentral is "tRNA-Pro". It matches the Rfam family "tRNA". From Rfam's summary of the family: Transfer RNA (tRNA) molecules are approximately 80 nucleotides in length. Their secondary structure includes four short double-helical elements and three loops (D, anti-codon, and T loops). RNAcentral also lists the same sequence under 1 other name. The record is from RNAcentral. Lineage: Bacteria; Bacillati; Bacillota; Bacilli; Caryophanales; Staphylococcaceae.
UGGGAAGUAGCUCAGCUUGGUAGAGCACUUGGUUUGGGACCAAGGGGUCGCAGGUUCGAAUCCUGUCUUCCCGA